AUGCGAUAAGUAAUGUGAAUUGCAGAAUUCAGUGAAUCAUCGAAUCUUUGAACGCACAUUGCGCCCGCCAGCAUUCUGGCGGGCAUGCCUGUUCGAGCGUCAUUUCAACCCUCAAGCUCUGCUUGGUGUUGGGGCCCUACGGUUGACGUAGGCCCUCAAAGGUAGUGGCGGACCCUCCCGGAGCCUCCUUUGCGUAGUAACUAACGUCUCGCAUCGGGAUCCGGAGGGACUCUUGCCGUAAAACCCCCCAAUUUUUCAAUGGUUGACCUCGGAUCAGGUAGGAAUACCCGCUGAACUUAA
This 300-nucleotide unclassified non-coding RNA is filed under the name uncultured Colletotrichum. RNAcentral's name for it is "partial contains 5.8S ribosomal RNA, internal transcribed spacer 2, and large subunit ribosomal RNA". The stretch from base 1 to 102 matches the Rfam family "5.8S ribosomal RNA", at positions 53 to 154 of the family's 154-position model. Lineage: Eukaryota; Fungi; Ascomycota; Sordariomycetes; Glomerellales; Plectosphaerellaceae. The record is from RNAcentral.